Cinara cedri is the source of this 206-nucleotide non-coding RNA. The record is from the annotation of a GenBank genome assembly. Lineage: Eukaryota; Metazoa; Arthropoda; Insecta; Hemiptera; Aphididae.
CGGAAGACGUUUUCUACCAAAAAAAAUUACUUGAUCGAAAAAUCACAAGACACGUCUUUUAUUGCUAUUUUGUUUAAAUUAUUAUAGUUUUAUCGCCAAAUCUUUUGAGCCACUUUUGAGCUUUUAAGGAAUUUACAUUUUUGGGAGUUUUUUUGAUGUAAUUCGGUUAUAAAUACACGUAGAGACUUGAAACUUAGUAAUAAUAA